CACCCCACGUCGCAGAUCCGAUCACUACGGCGGCGACCCGCGGCCAAAGACGGAGACCUCGCCGUGCGCCCUAAACACCGACGACACAGGAUACUGAUCGAUUGCAGUUGGGUUCAUCUUGAUCUCCUGACGCGGCCGCCGUGUACUUCUUGGUGCGAGGUACGCAUGUCAGGGUGACUUGAUUUUCUCCCGAUGCCCGAGCGAUCUGGAGCUAAGGUGCCUCACCUAGGGACUACCAGCAAUGCAAUCUACCAAUAGCUUGCAAAUGCAGUUGGAGGAGGAAAGAUUUACCACACCUGUAAAGAAAGCAAGUGUUCCUCUCCCCUGUUCGUCUUUUACACCGGAAUGUGAAGAGAAUUUGAAGCCUAAUUUAGGCAUGACAUUUGAAGGAUUAGAGGCUGUUGAGAAGUUCUAUAAGUUUUAUGGACAUGAAGUUGUGUGGUAAUGAUACCUACAAGAUAGAAUCAUGGGUUGAGCACUACAAUCAUGGUCACUUGAUCAGAUCAAAUCGUCGAGUUAUUGAGAGUGCAAAGAAUGCAUUCUACACAUGUAACAAAGCAAGCAUAGACACCUGUCAGACAUACAGGCUUCUCCAAGUCAGCGAGGGUUCCUGCAGUGAAGCACACUAGGCAAGAGGAAUAUGAGGCAUUUAUUGGUUGCAACAUCCCUACUCAAGUUAACAUACACCCGCCAAAUGAUGUUCGUUCGGCAGGGAGAAGUAAAAGAAUAAGGAGAGGAAAGGAGAUGAAUGGGGAAGAACUGAAAGAGAAGAACGAAGAAGCCAAGGCCAAGGUCGCACGCUCGUGCAAGACGUGCAACCAAGUAGGGUUUCAUGAUAGUCGCAAUUGUCCAAAGAAAAAGGGUCAAGGAAAAGAAGUCAUGAAUGUGCAUGUCAUGCAUACAUAAUUACAGAUUGUGCAUCAUGAAAGCUACACCUCUUGCAAGAAAAAUAAAUGCUUUAUCAAUAGUAUUGUUUUAUUCGAUGUAUAAAAUUUCUUUGUGUAAUGGAUCAAAUAAUUAUUUUGUCCAACUGUUUGACUUAGUGGUGAGCAGAUUCAAUGAAUUGCAGUUUUU
Triticum aestivum (bread wheat) is the source of this 1074-nucleotide long non-coding RNA. RefSeq lists it as uncharacterized. The record is from RefSeq and is a predicted model, not a curated record. NCBI's taxonomy places the organism in Eukaryota, Viridiplantae, Streptophyta, Magnoliopsida, Poales, Poaceae. The transcript has 3 exons.